Long non-coding RNA from Cyprinus carpio (common carp), 157 nucleotides. RefSeq lists it as uncharacterized. The record is from RefSeq and is a predicted model, not a curated record. NCBI's taxonomy places the organism in Eukaryota, Metazoa, Chordata, Actinopteri, Cypriniformes, Cyprinidae. The transcript is spliced from 3 exons.
AAAACAGGAGGGCAAAGUGAAAUUGGCACUUUGAAGGCAUCAUUUGACCAGCUAAAAGCCGAAAUGGAGAACAUUGGAAAUUUGCACAUUCAGCUCUCUGGGAUGUUAAGAGAAGAGGCGAAACGAAUGGAGCAGUUCAGAGAGCGACAAAAGGAGC